This 120-nucleotide transfer RNA is filed under the name Harpegnathos saltator (Jerdon's jumping ant). It matches the Rfam family "tRNA". From Rfam's summary of the family: Transfer RNA (tRNA) molecules are approximately 80 nucleotides in length. Their secondary structure includes four short double-helical elements and three loops (D, anti-codon, and T loops). The record is from Rfam by way of RNAcentral. Lineage: Eukaryota; Metazoa; Arthropoda; Insecta; Hymenoptera; Formicidae.
GUCAGGAUGGCCGAGCGGUCUAAGGCGCCAGACUCAAGGUUCAUACCUUCUCGGUUCGAGGCCGAGUACCGGGCUUUCUGGUCCUCUCUGAGGGCGUGGGUUCGAAUCCCACUUCUGACA